This 484-nucleotide ribosomal RNA is filed under the name uncultured bacterium. RNAcentral's name for it is "partial 16S ribosomal RNA". It matches the Rfam family "Bacterial small subunit ribosomal RNA", at positions 28 to 507 of the family's 1533-position model. The record is from RNAcentral.
GAUUAACGCUAGCGGCAGGCAUAAUACAUGUAAGUUGAACGGCAGCACAGGUAGCACUACUGGGUGGCGAGUGGCGCACGGGUGCGUAACACGUAUGCAACCUACCCUAUACAGGCGAAUAACCUUUAGAAAUGAGGGCUAAUACGCCGUAGUAUUACAGAUGGGCAUCUAUUUGUAAUUAAAGAUUUAUCGGUAUAGGAUGGGCAUGCGUCCCAUUAGUUAGUUGGUAAGGUAACGGCUUACCAAGACGAUGAUGGGUAGGGGAUCUGAGAGGACUUACCCCCACACUGGUACUGAGACACGGACCAGACUCCUACGGGAGGCAGCAGUAAGGAAUAUUGGGCAAUGGCCGCGAGGCUGACCCAGCCAUGCCGCGUGCAGGAAGACGGCCUUAUGGGUUGUAAACUGCUUUUAUACGGGAAUAAUAGAGUGUACGCGUACAUUUAUGCAAGUAUCGUAUGAAUAAGCAUCGGCUAACUCCGUG